GACGAACGCUGGCGGCGUGCUUAACACAUGCAAGUCGAGCGAUGAAGUUCCUUCGGGAACGGUUUAGCGGCGGACGGGUGAGUAACACGUGGGUAACCUGCCUCAUAGAGGGGAAUAGCCUUCCGAAAGGAAGAUUAAUACCGCAUAAGAUUGUAAUGCCGCAUGGCAUAGCAAUUAAAGGAGCAAUCCGCUAUGAGAUGGACCCGCGUCGCAUUAGCUAGUUGGUGAGGUAACGGCUCACCAAGGCGACGAUGCGUAGCCGACCUGAGAGGGUGAUCGGCCACAUUGGGACUGAGACACGGCCCAGACUCCUACGGGAGGCAGCAGUGGGGAAUAUUGCACAAUGGGGGAAACCCUGAUGCAGCAACGCCGCGUGAGUGAUGACGGUCUUCGGAUUGUAAAGCUCUGUCUUUAGGGACGAUAAUGACGGUACCUAAGGAGGAAGCCACGGCUAACUACGUGCCAGCAGCCGCCGUAA
RNAcentral lists this ribosomal RNA (478 nucleotides) under uncultured bacterium. RNAcentral describes it as "partial 16S ribosomal RNA". It matches the Rfam family "Bacterial small subunit ribosomal RNA", at positions 28 to 523 of the family's 1533-position model. The record is from RNAcentral.